CGAGAAUGGAACCAGGAC
RNAcentral lists this non-coding RNA (18 nucleotides) under Arabidopsis thaliana (thale cress). The record is from RNAcentral. Lineage: Eukaryota; Viridiplantae; Streptophyta; Magnoliopsida; Brassicales; Brassicaceae.